GAUGAACGCUGGCGGCGUGCCUAAUACAUGCAAGUCGAGCGAACAGACGAGGAGCUUGCUCCUCUGACGUUAGCGGCGGACGGGUGAGUAACACGUGGAUAACCUACCUAUAAGACUGGGAUAACUUCGGGAAACCGGAGCUAAUACCGGAUAAUAUAUUGAACCGCAUGGUUCAAUAGUGAAAGACGGUUUUGCUGUCACUUAUAGAUGGAUCCGCGCCGCAUUAGCUAGUUGGUAAGGUAACGGCUUACCAAGGCAACGAUGCGUAGCCGACCUGAGAGGGGGAUCGGCCACACUGGAACUGAGGCACGGUCCAGACGCCUACGGGAGGCAGCAGUAGGGAAUCUUCCGCAAUGGGCGAAAGCCUGACGGAGCAACGGCGCGUGAGUGAUGAAGGGCUUCGGAUCGUAAAACUCUGUUGUUAGGGAAGAACAAAUGUGUAAGUAACUGUGCACGUCUUGACGGUACCUAAUCAGAAAGCCACGGCUAACUACGUG
This 497-nucleotide ribosomal RNA is filed under the name uncultured bacterium. RNAcentral describes it as "partial 16S ribosomal RNA". It matches the Rfam family "Bacterial small subunit ribosomal RNA", at positions 28 to 507 of the family's 1533-position model. The record is from RNAcentral.